This 86-nucleotide non-coding RNA is filed under the name Chloroflexota bacterium. Its description in RNAcentral is "Chloroflexi bacterium Fluoride sequence". It matches the Rfam family "Fluoride riboswitch aptamer (crcB RNA motif)". The record is from RNAcentral. Lineage: Bacteria; Bacillati; Chloroflexota.
AUUGCCGUUGGCGAUGAGGCUCGCCAGGGGCCGGAGUGGCGGCCCCGAACAACUGUCGGUGAACGACUGAUAGCCUCUACCUUGUG